UAUAAGGUGGUGGUCAUGGAUCUUGGGAACUAUUUUGCCAGAUCACCCUGAGAAGAGGAGGCAGGUUCCAGAGAUCCCUGGGAGGAAGAGACCAGUAACAGGUCCCUGGACGGUGUGCAGCUGUUGGUCUGUAACUCGCCAAUGGACAUCGAGCUGACCCCCAACCGUCACGGCCGCGCGGCCCAGGUACCGCUACCUGCUGGCCUCGGCCGCGGACACCUUCUUCUUCACGCUCUUCCAGUUCCUCCCCACGGCGCUCACCGACGCCGUGAUGACCUUCAGCUCCGUGUCCGCCACGCUGUACGCCGGGGAGGUUGCGCAAUAACGCGUUCGGUGUUUUCUGUCCCUUUUGUAUGAGUGCGCGUUUGUUCCGGUGACCGUAAGAGUUGUUUUACACUGUUGUUCUCUCCUGUAAUAAAUGUGUUUACGUUCA
Pseudoliparis swirei is the source of this 433-nucleotide long non-coding RNA. RefSeq lists it as uncharacterized. The record is from RefSeq and is a predicted model, not a curated record. NCBI's taxonomy places the organism in Eukaryota, Metazoa, Chordata, Actinopteri, Perciformes, Liparidae. The transcript has 2 exons.